AUUGAACGCUGGCGGCAGGCUUAACACAUGCAAGUCGAGCGGGGGAAGGUAGCUUGCUACCGGACCUAGCGGCGGACGGGUGAGUAAUGCUUAGGAAUCUGCCUAUUAGUGGGGGACAACAUCUCGAAAGGGAUGCUAAUACCGCAUACGUCCUACGGGAGAAAGCAGGGGAUCUUCGGACCUUGCGCUAAUAGAUGAGCCUAAGUCGGAUUAGCUAGUUGGUGGGGUAAAGGCCUACCAAGGCGACGAUCUGUAGCGGGUCUGAGAGGAUGAACCGCCACACUGGGACUGAGACACGGCCCAGACUCCUACGGGAGGCAGCAGUGGGGAAUAUUGGACAAUGGGGGGAACCCUGAUCCAGCCAUGCCGCGUGUGUGAAGAAGGCCUUAUGGUUGUAAAGCACUUUAAGCGAGGAGGAGGCUACUCUAGUUAAUACCUAGGGAUAGUGGACGUUACUCGCAGAAUAAGCACUGGCUAACUCUGUGCCAGCCGCCGCAGUAA
Molecule: ribosomal RNA, 501 nt
Filed under: uncultured bacterium
Lineage: Bacteria
Description: partial 16S ribosomal RNA
Rfam family: Bacterial small subunit ribosomal RNA
Source: RNAcentral